Molecule: ribosomal RNA, 253 nt
Filed under: uncultured bacterium
Lineage: Bacteria
Description: partial 16S ribosomal RNA
Rfam family: Bacterial small subunit ribosomal RNA
Source: RNAcentral
UACGGAGGGAGCUAGCGUUGUUCGGAAUUACUGGGCGUAAAGCGCACGUAGGCGGCUUUCUAAGUCAGGGGUGAAAUCCCGGGGCUCAACCCCGGAACUGCCCUUGAAACUGGAUGGCUAGAAUCCUGGAGAGGCGAGUGGAAUUCCGAGUGUAGAGGUGAAAUUCGUAGAUAUUCGGAAGAACACCAGUGGCGAAGGCGACUCGCUGGACAGGUAUUGACGCUGAGGAGCGAAAGCAUGGGGAGCGAACAGG